AAACGGCGUAGUUGUCCAGAAGGCCUCCUGCCACAAGUGCCCAUUUGUACAUCCAGUGUCCUGCGUGGAAACAACUCCGGCUCUAGGGGGUAACUCCUGCCGCUAGGGGAGAGGGACCAGUUGUCCCUUCUCCCUGUAACCCAUACUGCCGCUGGGGAGAGACAUCUGUGAAGUCAUCUGUGCUUAAUGGGCAAAGGCCAG
Molecule: non-coding RNA, 201 nt
Organism: Pelobates cultripes (western spadefoot toad)
Lineage: Eukaryota; Metazoa; Chordata; Amphibia; Anura; Pelobatidae
Source: the annotation of a GenBank genome assembly